Molecule: unclassified non-coding RNA, 149 nt
Filed under: Cladosporium lignicola
Lineage: Eukaryota; Fungi; Ascomycota; Dothideomycetes; Cladosporiales; Cladosporiaceae
Also listed under: 2 other names
Description: sequence contains ITS2
Source: RNAcentral
CACCACUCAAGCCUCGCUUGGUAUUGGGCGACGCGGUCCGCCGCGCGCCUCAAAUCGACCGGCUGGGUCUUCUGUCCCCUCAGCGUUGUGGAAACUAUUCGCUAAAGGGUGCCACGGGAGGCCACGCCGAAAAACAAACCCAUUUCUAA